RNAcentral lists this long non-coding RNA (1928 nucleotides) under Homo sapiens (human). RNAcentral describes it as "HSALNT0358739". The record is from RNAcentral. Lineage: Eukaryota; Metazoa; Chordata; Mammalia; Primates; Hominidae.
GGCAGGGUGCCACAGCGUCUACUACAGCCCACCCCUUGCACUGCUCAGAUCCAGUCACUUCUCACAUUAAGUUUAUUUUAUCUGCCUAUUGUUGGGAAUGGGGGUCAUUGAUUUAGGAUGUAUAGGACAACCUGAAGGAUAGCACCCCAUAUCCUUCACACUGAUGAGGUAUUGCCUCCCAGUUGGUACCUCAGCUGUGUCUUUAAGAGGCAACUCUAUCCCCUAUAGACUGGCAGAUUCUAGAUGUUGUGAAAUGUGUAAGGACCAGUGGAUUUCACAGUCGUGUGCCCACUGCCAUGCAGCAAUCAUGGUGACUCAGCUCUCUUAGUCUGCAAUGAUGUCAACUGAGGGCCUAUGUCAGUGAAUCAGACUCUUGGUGAGCCAUAGUGCCAAUGGCCUGAGGCUCCAUUGGAAGGAGAAGUGAAUUCAUACCUAGAAUAUGCAUCCAUCCUGUCUGGGCAAAUCACUGCCCUUCCCAUGAGGGAAGGGGUCCUACAUAAUCAACUUGUCACCAAGUGGCUAGUUGGUUUCAUCCUGGAAUGUUAUUGUAUCACGGGCUCAGCUUGGGUCUCUGUUGAUGACAGGUUGGGCAUUCAGCAGUGACAGUAGCUAGAUCAGCCUUGGGGAGAGGAAGCCAAGGCUGUUAGGGUUAUAUAUAACUUCGUCAUUGUCACCAUGGCACUCUGUUCAUGAGCCCAUAUGGUGCAAGGACUGGUUGGAGGAUGACGAGUGAGGACAGAGACUGGCUGACGUCCACUGGCCGAGUCAUCCUGCCCACUUGGUUGUUUGGUGUUGCUUCUGCAAUGGAUGCUCUUUGGGGCCUGAUUUGGAUAUAGGAGACCUCCCUUGAUGGAGAAUUCAGCCUUUACUCAAGUUCUGCUGCUUUUCCAAUGAGUCCUCUGCCUGAUUGUCACUCCAUCUGCCCUCUGGCUGCAGAAGAGAGAGUCAGCCUGUCCUGGUGAUGCUGGCAGAAGGCAGUGCCUGCAGCUGAGCAGUGGCCGGUGGGUGUUCCAUUAUUUAAGGUAAAUCUUUUCUCCUCCUCACCUUCCACCUCCCUCCAAAAGGAGAAACUCCAGCCACCUCGGAGAGGCCCCAGGAGCAGGGGGCUUCUAGGCACCCAGCCCCCUACAGGCAGCACCCUGCAGCCUCCCCCACACCGCCGGCUCCUGCACACACAUGCCCCUCACUCUCCUGACACCCGGAUACAUCUGAGUGGAGAUCUCUGGGGUGCCGGCCCGGCCCUUCUUCCCUCUGUGGACAGUCCCUGUGGAGGAAAGGCCAUGACAGCCACAUUUGCUUUCCCCCUAAGGUGAGGCUGCGUGGAGGGAGGGCAGGGACUGGCUGCGGGGCUGUGUCAGAUGCAUGUUCCUAAAACUUCAAUCGGAGACACAUCAAGUGUUGUCAGUUUGUGUUGGUGCCGAGGCUGGAAGGAUGGUUAGAACCAUGGCCUGGGCAGGGGCUAUCGUGAGACAGUACCCCAUGUAAAGCAUGCUCACGGAGGAGGGAAAACCCAAGCUUCCCUAGGAGGGGAGGGGCAGGUGUACCGAGAGGUGGAGGCCAGGGAUGCUGAGAUGCCAGCAGGGAGCCAUGGGUGCAGUGAAUGCUCACUCUCCAUUGAAGCCACACUCCUGUGUGCUCUGAACAGCACCCUCUGUGGCUUAAUAUGAAUAGCUUCCUGCUACUUAAACCCAGCAUAAUCCACAAGGGACCAUCAAAGAUGGGACACUGUUGCACACUCUGAGUCACAUGCCACAGGGGCCCCUAGCACCCUGCAGCCACCUGGCCCUAUUCAGCCACCCCAACUCCCCCAACCAUCCGGCCACACACUGCACUUGCCCCACCAGGGACUGGUUCCAGGGACCCCCAUGGACAGGGGUUCUUCCAAUUCAACACCCAAACCACCUGCCUUUCUUUUUUGUGUGUGCAGA